CACGUGUAGCAGUGAAAUGCGUAGAGAUGUGGAGGAAUACCGAUGGCGAAGGCAGCCCCCUGGGAUAACACUGACGUUCAUGCUCGAAAGCGUGGGUAGCAAACAGGAUUAGAUACCCUGGUAGUCCACGCCCUAAACGAUGUCAAUUAGCUGUUGGGCAACUUGAUUGCUUAGUAGCGUAGCUAACGCGUGAAAUUGACCGCCUGGGGAGUACGGUCGCAAGAUUAAAACUCAAAGGAAUUGACGGGGACCCGCACAAGCGGUGGAUGAUGUGGAUUAAUUCGAUGCAACGCGAAGAACCGUACCUGGUCUUGACAUGUACGGAAUCUCUCAGAGACGGGAGAGUGCCUUCGGGAGCCGUAACACAGGUGCUGCAUGGCUGUCGUCAGCUCGUGUCGUGAGAUGUUGGGUUAAGUCCCGCAACGAGCGCAACCCUUGUCAUUAGUUGCCAUCAUUUAGUUGGGCACUCUAAUGAGACUGCCGGUGACAAACCGGAGGAAGGUGGGGAUGACGUCAAGUCCUCAUGGCCCUUAUGACCAGGGCUUCACACGUCAUACAAUGGUCGGUACAGAGGGUCGCCAAGCCGCGAGGUGGAGCCAAUCUCACAAAACCGAUCGUAGUCCGGAUUGCACUCUGCAACUCGAGUGCAUGAAGUCGGAAUCGCUAGUAAUCGCAGGUCAGCAUACUGCGGUGAAUACGUUCCCGGGUCUUGUACACACCGCCCGUCACACCAUGGGAGUGGGGGAUACCAGAAGU
This 756-nucleotide ribosomal RNA is filed under the name uncultured bacterium. RNAcentral describes it as "bacterial SSU rRNA". It matches the Rfam family "Bacterial small subunit ribosomal RNA", at positions 670 to 1427 of the family's 1533-position model. The record is from RNAcentral.